GACAGGUUAGCUCAGUCGGUAGAGCAUGAGACUCUUAAUCUCAGGGUCGUGGGUUUGUGGGUUCGAGCCCCACAUUGGGCUUCA
Eleginops maclovinus (Patagonian blennie) is the source of this 84-nucleotide non-coding RNA. Lineage: Eukaryota; Metazoa; Chordata; Actinopteri; Perciformes; Eleginopidae. The record is from the annotation of a RefSeq genome assembly.